This 253-nucleotide ribosomal RNA is filed under the name uncultured bacterium. RNAcentral describes it as "partial 16S ribosomal RNA". It matches the Rfam family "Bacterial small subunit ribosomal RNA", at positions 524 to 776 of the family's 1533-position model. The record is from RNAcentral.
GACAGAGGAGGCAAGCGCUAUCCGGAAUUACUGGGCGUAAAGCGUUCGUAGGUGGUUUGACAAGUCUGGGGUUAAAGCCCGGAGCCCAACUCCGGAUCGGCCCUGGAAACUGUCAGACUUGAGUAAGGUAGGGGUUGCGGGAAUUCCCGGUGUAGCGGUGAAAUGCGUAGAUAUCGGGAAGAACACCAGCGGCGAAAGCGCGCAACUGGGCCAUUACUGGCACUGAGGGACGAAAGCUAGGGGAGCGAAUGGG